GACGAACGCUGGCGGCGUGCCUAAUACAUGCAAGUUGAGCGCUGAAGGUUGGUACUUGUCCCAACUGGAUGAGCAGCGAACGGGUGAGUAACGCGUGGGGAAUCUGCCUUUGAGCGGGGGACAACAUUUGGAAACGAAUGCUAAUACCGCAUAAAAACUUUAAACACAAGUUUUAAGUUUGAAAGAUGCAAUUGCAUCACUCAAAGAUGAUCCCGCGUUGUAUUAGCUAGUUGGUGAGGUAAAGGCUCACCAAGGCGAUGAUACAUAGCCGACCUGAGAGGGUGAUCGGCCACAUUGGGACUGAGACACGGCCCAAACUCCUACGGGAGGCAGCAGUAGGGAAUCUUCGGAAAUGGACGAAAGUCUGACCGAGCAACGCCGCGUGAGUGAAGAAGGGUUUCGGAUCGUAAAACUCUGUUGGUAGAGAAGAACGUUGGUGAGAGUGGAAAGCUCAUCAAGUGACGGUAACUACCCAGAAAGGGACGGCUAACUACGUG
Molecule: ribosomal RNA, 497 nt
Filed under: uncultured bacterium
Lineage: Bacteria
Description: partial 16S ribosomal RNA
Rfam family: Bacterial small subunit ribosomal RNA
Source: RNAcentral